RNAcentral lists this ribosomal RNA (253 nucleotides) under uncultured bacterium. RNAcentral describes it as "partial 16S ribosomal RNA". It matches the Rfam family "Bacterial small subunit ribosomal RNA", at positions 524 to 776 of the family's 1533-position model. The record is from RNAcentral.
UACGUAGGGCGCGAGCGUUGUCCGGAAUUAUUGGGCGUAAAGAGCUCGUAGGCGGCUUGUCACGUCGGGUGUGAAAGCCCGGGGCUUAACCCCGGGUCUGCAUUCGAUACGGGCUAGCUAGAGUGUGGUAGGGGAGAUCGGAAUUCCUGGUGUAGCGGUGAAAUGCGCAGAUAUCAGGAGGAACACCGGUGGCGAAGGCGGAUCUCUGGGCCAUUACUGACGCUGAGGAGCGAAAGCGUGGGGAGCGAACAGG